AGUAGACUGGCGCAGUGGAAGCGUGCUGGUCACAUAAAUCAGAGGUCCGUGGAUCGAAACGACGCUCUGCUA
This 72-nucleotide transfer RNA is filed under the name Caerostris darwini. RNAcentral describes it as "tRNA-iMet". The record is from RNAcentral. Lineage: Eukaryota; Metazoa; Arthropoda; Arachnida; Araneae; Araneidae.